UCAGACGAUACAGCUGGCGUCUCUGCUUUGUUGCUUUGCUCAAUAGAGUCUAACAUUUGACAUCUGGAAAAAUAAUCUUCGCUGUCGAAAUCUGAAAUGUUUUGUAAUCAUUUGGCAACCGACUGCUGAGGGGAGUAAAUGCAGUCAACCUGUUGUGCUGCCGGCAGAGAGAGCUGGUAGGAGCCGCUGUUUUAGGAGCCUGUGACUCAUCUGACUACAGCUCCAUUCAGGUACAGCACUGCGCAAUAUAACUGCAUGAGCAGUCUUUUCACAAACAUUCUGCUGCUUUUUUGUAGGAAACAAUGGAGAAAAUGACCAAAAUAGGGGAGGUGAUCAGAUCUAAUCUUGAGCUACAGAGCUUUUACAGAAAGAAGUGUGCUGUGUUUCUGUGCCUUUAUAAUCACCAGAAGGAAUACGUAAAACUGAUGCAUGAUUGAUGUUUGGAGGAAUCACCAGUUAGACAUUAGUGAGCUAACGCCUUGUC
Molecule: long non-coding RNA, 484 nt
Organism: Xyrauchen texanus (razorback sucker)
Lineage: Eukaryota; Metazoa; Chordata; Actinopteri; Cypriniformes; Catostomidae
Exons: 3
Source: RefSeq, a predicted model, not a curated record